This 919-nucleotide long non-coding RNA is filed under the name Rattus norvegicus (Norway rat). Its description in RNAcentral is "long non-coding RNA NONRATT015781". Lineage: Eukaryota; Metazoa; Chordata; Mammalia; Rodentia; Muridae. The record is from RNAcentral.
UUCGGGGGCAGCACAAAGCCAACACACAGAUUUGCACAGAUUCUCUUACACACAUUUCCCAAACUGGAAGGCAUAGCCCACGCAGAGCUUGUGAACCUUGAGAAAAGUGGGUUCUGGUCUUGUUUCGGGGAGCAGAGAAACUAUUCUUUCCUCUUUCACUCAGCGGCACUAACAAAACGCGCGGACUCAAGAGAAAAAUAAAAAGAAAGAAAAAAAAAAAACUCCACGUAGUGGAUCCUUAAUCCACUCACUGUGACAUCUGUCUAGUGUAGUGGUCCACGGGGGGACAAACGUGCUGGAAGCUGGAGACACAAACCCAGAACAGGACCCAAACAAACACUACUGGGGAUAAAAGAGUCAAACACACCGGGUCAAUGUUCUUUCAGGGGUGUCUGAGGAUGAACUAGGGGCUCCUCUGACUUACACUAAGGACAGGGGAGAAGAGGAUCAAAAGAGAAAGUGGUGGUCCCCAAAGAUGAACUCUUUCAGGAAGGCAGCCCCAAGAAAACACUCACUUUCCUGAGACUAAAAGGCCAGAAGAGCGGCUGGUGGGAGGUACAAAGAGCUGGGGACCGAACCCAGGGCCUUGCGGUUGCUAGGCAAGCGCUCUACCACUGAGCUAAACCCUCAAGCCCGACACAUUUAUCUCUUAAGGACCAUGACACGACCCACGGGACACUCUUACCCUGACUGGACUACAAAUUAGCACAGCGUUUUGUGCUCCCUGUUCCAGAGACAGCCGCGUCUUCUCGUGCAGUGCCAGCCUCGUCUCAUAGACAAGAUGGUAAAGGUUGGUGUGAACGGAUUUGGCCGUAUUGGGCACCUGGUUACCAGACCUGCUUUCUGCUCUGCAUCUGGCAAAGUGGACAUUGUUGCCAUCAAUGACCCCUUCAUUGACCUCAAGUACAUGGUCUACAUG